RNAcentral lists this non-coding RNA (77 nucleotides) under Stygamoeba regulata. Lineage: Eukaryota; Discosea; Stygamoebida. The record is from RNAcentral.
GCUUCUGUGCCCGCUGCGGCCACCGUUCUCCAGGAUGCCGGCUUUCAGACUGUGUGGCUUCUCUUUCUGGUCUCCAA